CGGGGUGAGUAAUGUCUGGGAAACUGCCUGAUGGAGGGGGAUAACUACUGGAAACGGUAGCUAAUACCGCAUAACGUCGCAAGACCAAAGAGGGGGACCUUAGGGCCUCUUGCCAUCGGAUGUGCCCAGAUGGGAUUAGCUAGUAGGUGGGGUAAUGGCUCACCUAGGCGACGAUCCCUAGCUGGUCUGAGAGGAUGACCAGCCACACUGGAACUGAGACACGGCCCAG
This 229-nucleotide ribosomal RNA is filed under the name uncultured bacterium. Its description in RNAcentral is "partial 16S ribosomal RNA". It matches the Rfam family "Bacterial small subunit ribosomal RNA", at positions 104 to 334 of the family's 1533-position model. The record is from RNAcentral.